Molecule: ribosomal RNA, 506 nt
Filed under: uncultured bacterium
Lineage: Bacteria
Description: partial 16S ribosomal RNA
Rfam family: Bacterial small subunit ribosomal RNA
Source: RNAcentral
AUUGAACGCUGGCGGUAUGCUUAACACAUGCAAGUCGAACGGCAGCAUGGUCUAGCUUGCUAGACUGAUGGCGAGUGGCGGACGGGUGAGUAACGCGUAGGAAUAUGCCUUGAAGAGUGGGCCAACUUGGGGAAACUCAAGCUAAUACCGCAUGUACUCGAAAGAGUAAAGCUGGGGCCCUUUAGGCCUGGCGCUUUAAGAUUAACCUGCGUCCGAUUAGCUAGUUGGUAGGGGAAAGGCCUACCAAGGCGACGAUCGGUAGCUGGUCUGAGAGGAUGAUCAGCCACACUGGAACUGAGAGACGGUCCAGACUCCUACGGGAGGCAGCAGUGGGGAAUAUUGGACAAUGGGGGGAACCCUGAUCCAGCAAUGCCGCGUGUGUGAAGAAGGCCUGAGGGUUGUAAAGCACUUUCAGUGGGGAGGAGGUUUGGAAGGUUAAGAGCUAUUCAAAUGGACGUUACCCACAGAAGAAGCACCGGCUAACUCCGUGCCAGCCGCCGCGGUAA